GACGAACGCUGGCGGCGUGCCUAAUACAUGCAAGUAGAACGCUGAAGAGAGGAGCUUGCUCUUCUUGGAUGAGUUGCGAACGGGUGAGUAACGCGUAGGUAACCUGCCUUGUAGCGGGGGAUAACUAUUGGAAACGAUAGCUAAUACCGCAUAACAAUGGAUGACACAUGUCAUUUAUUUGAAAGGGGCAAUUGCUCCACUACAAGAUGGACCUGCGUUGUAUUAGCUAGUAGGUGAGGUAACGGCUCACCUAGGCGACGAUACAUAGCCGACCUGAGAGGGUGAUCGGCCACACUGGGACUGAGACACGGCCCAGACUCCUACGGGAGGCAGCAGUAGGGAAUCUUCGGCAAUGGGGGCAACCCUGACCGAGCAACGCCGCGUGAGUGAAGAAGGUUUUCGGAUCGUAAAGCUCUGUUGUAAGUCAAGAACGAGUGUGAGAGUGGAAAGUUCACACUGUGACGGUAGCUUACCAGAAAGGGACGGCUAACUACGUGCCAGCAGCCGCGGUAAUACGUAGGUCCCGAGCGUUGUCCGGAUUUAUUGGGCGUAAAGCGAGCGCAGGCGGUUUGAUAAGUCUGAAGUUAAAGGCUGUGGCUCAACCAUAGUUCGCUUUGGAAACUGUCAAACUUGAGUGCAGAAGGGGAGAGUGGAAUUCCAUGUGUAGCGGUGAAAUGCGUAGAUAUAUGGAGGAACACCGGUGGCGAAAGCGGCUCUCUGGUCUGUAACUGACGCUGAGGCUCGAAAGCGUGGGGAGCGAACAGGAUUAGAUACCCUGGUAGUCCACGCCGUAAACGAUGAGUGCUAGGUGUUGGAUCCUUUCCGGGAUUCAGUGCCGCAGCUAACGCAUUAAGCACUCCGCCUGGGGAGUACGACCGCAAGGUUGAAACUCAAAGGAAUUGACGGGGGCCCGCACAAGCGGUGGAGCAUGUGGUUUAAUUCGAAGCAACGCGAAGAACCUUACCAGGUCUUGACAUCCCGAUGCUAUUUCUAGAGAUAGAAAGUUACUUCGGUACAUCGGUGACAGGUGGUGCAUGGUUGUCGUCAGCUCGUGUCGUGAGAUGUUGGGUUAAGUCCCGCAACGAGCGCAACCCCUAUUGUUAGUUGCCAUCAUUCAGUUGGGCACUCUAGCGAGACUGCCGGUAAUAAACCGGGGGAAGGUGGGGAUGACGUCAAAUCAUCAUGCCCCUUAUGACCUGGGCUACACACGUGCUACAAUGGUUGGUACAACGAGUUGCGAGUCGGUGACGGCAAGCUAAUCUCUUAAAGCCAAUCUCAGUUCGGAUUGUAGGCUGCAACUCGCCUACAUGAAGUCGGAAUCGCUAGUAAUCGCGGAUCAGCACGCCGCGGUGAAUACGUUCCCGGGCCU
This 1369-nucleotide ribosomal RNA is filed under the name uncultured bacterium. RNAcentral's name for it is "bacterial SSU rRNA". It matches the Rfam family "Bacterial small subunit ribosomal RNA", at positions 28 to 1381 of the family's 1533-position model. The record is from RNAcentral.